GAUGAAGAACGCAGCGAAAUGCGAUAAGUAAUGUGAAUUGCAGAAUUCAGUGAAUCAUCGAAUCUUUGAACGCACAUUGCGCCCCCUGGUAUUCCGGGGGGCAUGCCUGUCCGAGCGUCAUUACAACCCUCAAGCUCAGCUUGGUGUUGGGCCCCGCCGCCCCGGCGGGCCCUAAAGUCAGUGGCGGUGCCGUCCGGCUCCGAGCGUAGUAAUUCUUCUCGCUCUGGAGGUCCGGUCGUGUGCUCGCCAGCAACCCCCAAUUUUUUUCAGGUUGACCUCGGAUCAGGUAGGGAUACCCGCUGAACUUAAGCAUUCAAUAAGCGGAGGA
This 328-nucleotide unclassified non-coding RNA is filed under the name soil metagenome. RNAcentral's name for it is "partial contains 5.8S ribosomal RNA, internal transcribed spacer 2, and large subunit ribosomal RNA". The stretch from base 1 to 120 matches the Rfam family "5.8S ribosomal RNA", at positions 35 to 154 of the family's 154-position model. The record is from RNAcentral.